GCAAUGUGGCCCCCUAAUGGUGGCUGCGCUGAGCCAGCUCCUCAGAUUACCACCUUAUUGGCCGCCUUUCUCAGCUUUUCUGUAGUUACCCAUAUUUUGUUCCUCUUUCUUGUCUAUUUUCUGUGCUUUUUCUCUGCUUUCCGUCUCGCUAUUUUCUCACAUCUCCAUUUUCUUUCUCCUUCCUGCCACCAUUCUUCAUGUUCUUCCCACAGGACUUGAACUGCCAUGUCCUCUGAAGAAGGAAAGCUCUUCGUGGGAGGGCUCAACUUUAACACCGACGAGCAGGCACUGGAAGACCACUUCAGCAGUUUCGGACCUAUCUCUGAGGUGGUCGUUGUCAAGGACCGGGAGACUCAGCGGUCCAGGGGUUUUGGUUUCAUCACCUUCACCAACCCAGAGCAUGCUUCAGUUGCCAUGAGAGCCAUGAACGGAGAGGUGGGGCCUCCUAUCUGCAGAGGGACCUUGUCCCCAUCUGCGGCUUCCUUCAUUCUUUUUGUUUUUCCCUCUGUGUCUGCUCGGGGCAGCGUGGCCACCAAGCCCCGCAGUGCCCACUCACAGGAGCAUGACUGCCUUUUGUUCUAGGGGGUGGAGGGCAGCGGCAGACAGAGCCUGGCCGCCUGGGAGGCGACGACUGGUCCUGCAUGAGGCCGAGAAGCCACCUGUGGAUGGUUGACCUGCCUUGGGCUUAGGUAGUAGAGUCUGCAGACCUGUGGGCCUGGCCCGGAGAGGACCUCGUGAGUCUUCUGACAUGGACUCUGAAGCCUCAAACCAAGAGAGGUGUCUGUCUAGCCCUGAUAGUCGGGCAGCUUAGAGGAGUGGGGAGGAGAACUCAGCCUGAGUUCAGUCAAGAUUCUCUGGAUGGUCGUCAGAUCCGUGUGGAUCAUGCAGGCAAGUCUGCUCGGGGAACCAGAGGAGGUGGCUUUGGGGCCCAUGGGCGUGGUCGCAGCUACUCUAGAGGUGGUGGGGACCAGGGCUAUGGGAGUGGCAGGUAUUAUGACAGUCGACCUGGAGGGUAUGGAUAUGGAUAUGGACGUUCCAGAGACUAUAAUGGCAGAAACCAGGGUGGUUAUGACCGCUACUCAGGAGGAAAUUACAGAGACAAUUAUGACAACUGAAAUGAGACAUGCACAUAAUAUAGAUACACAAGGAAUAAUUUCUGAUCCAGGAUCGUCCUUCCAAAUGGCUGUAUUUAUAAAGGUUUUUGGAGCUGCACCGAAGCAUCUUAUUUUAUAGUAUAUCAACCUUUUGUUUUUAAAUUGACCUGCCAAGGUAGCUGAAGACCUUUUAGACAGUUCCAUCUUUUUUUUUAAAUUUUUUCUGCCUAUUUAAAGACAAAUUAUGGGACGUUUGUAGAACCUGAGUAUUUUUCUUUUUACCAGUUUUUUAGUUUGAGCUCUUAGGUUUAUUGGAGCUAGCAAUAAUUGGUUCUGGCAAGUUUGGCCAGACUGACUUCAAAAAAUUAAUGUGUAUCCAGGGACAUUUUAAAAACCUGUACACAGUGUUUAUUGUGGUUAGGAAGCAAUUUCCCAAUGUACCUAUAAGAAAUGUGCAUCAAGCCAGCCUGACCAACAUGGUGAAACCCCAUCUGUACUAAACAUAAAAAAAUUAGCCUGGCAUGGUGGUGUACGCCUGUAAUCCCAGUGACUUGGGAGGCUGAGGCAGGAGAAUCGCUUGAACCCGGGAGGCGGAGGUUGCAGUGAGCUAAGAUCGCGCCACUGUACUCCAGCCUGGGCAACAGCGAGACUCCAUCUCAAAAAAAAAGGAAAUGUGUAUCAAGAACAUGAUUAUCCAGCGGUAUUUUCUAAUUCAGAUCAUCAAACUGAUUAUAUAGAAGAGUUGGCUUUAAAAUGUUUGCAAAUGUCUUUUUUUUUUUAAUACUGGAAGAAAAAAUAUUCUGUUGUGUCUCAUACAGUGCUUAGGAUGUCUUUCACAGAGCUUAUUAAAAAGAUGAAACC
RNAcentral lists this long non-coding RNA (1955 nucleotides) under Homo sapiens (human). Its description in RNAcentral is "long non-coding RNA NONHSAT222698.1". Lineage: Eukaryota; Metazoa; Chordata; Mammalia; Primates; Hominidae. The record is from RNAcentral.